Molecule: ribosomal RNA, 253 nt
Filed under: uncultured bacterium
Lineage: Bacteria
Description: partial 16S ribosomal RNA
Rfam family: Bacterial small subunit ribosomal RNA
Source: RNAcentral
UACGAGGGCCCCAAGCGUUAUCCGGAAUUAUUGGGCGUAAAGGGUGUGUAGGUGGUUUUGUUAGUCUUCUGUUAAAGCUCCCGGCUUAACCGGGAAAGUGCAGAGGAAACGGCAAGACUAGAGGAUGUGAGAGGUUUAUGGAACUCAUGGUGUAGGGGUGAAAUCCGUUGAUAUCAUGGGGAACACCGAAAGCGAAGGCAAUAAACUGGCGCAUUCCUGACACUGAAACACGAAAGCGUGGGUAGCGAAUGGG